This 731-nucleotide small RNA is filed under the name Pongo abelii (Sumatran orangutan). RNAcentral describes it as "retained intron". The record is from RNAcentral. Lineage: Eukaryota; Metazoa; Chordata; Mammalia; Primates; Hominidae.
GCUGAGGUGCUUCCCCGGGGUCGUGCGCUCCCUGGACGCUCUGGGCUGGGAGGAGCGGCAGCUGGCGCUGGUGAAAGGCCUCCUGGCGGGAAACGUCUUCGACUGGGGGGCCAAAGCCGUGUCUGAUGUCCUUGAAUCCGACCCCUGCUUUGGGUUUGAAGAAGCAAAGAGGAAGUUACAAGAAAGACCCUGGCUUGUGGAUUCCUACAGCGAGUGGCUUCAGAGAUUAAAGGGGCCCCCUCAUAAAUGUGCCUUAAUUUUCGCAGAUAACAGUGGAAUAGACAUCAUUUUGGGAGUCUUCCCCUUUGUCAGGGAGCUACUCCUUAGAGGGACAGAGGUGAGUGCUGAGGUGGUGGGUGGGGCCCUUCCCCUGGGCUUCUCUGCUCUUGGUGGGGUUGGCGCCGCUGUGGGCCUCUGGCAGUGGUCGGGGCUCCUCCAGACGCAGCAGGUAGGUGCAGGCGGCAGCACGGGGGAGGUGGCCCAGAGCCCUCAUCUGAUGGGGUGGAGGCUCCCAGCCCCCCCGGGCUCAGGCUGAGGGUCCAUGUGCUGAAGCCCAGGGCUGAUGCCAGGCUCCUGGAAGGAGCUCACAGCAAGGAGGCUUUGGGGCUGUGACUUCAUGCCCAUAGGAGACAGGCAGGUCCCAAGGGCAGGUUCUAAACUCGGCUCUGCCCCUUGGCUCAGCUCCCUCCCAGGGGCCACAGAGUGGCAAGGUCAAGCGAGGUCCCUGCUCC